Molecule: ribosomal RNA, 138 nt
Filed under: Oryctolagus cuniculus (rabbit)
Lineage: Eukaryota; Metazoa; Chordata; Mammalia; Lagomorpha; Leporidae
Source: RNAcentral
GUCUAUAGCCAUACCACACUGAAUGUGCCUGAUCUUGUCUGACCUCAGAAGCUACAGGGUCAGGCCUGGUUAGUACUUGGAUGGGAGAAGGGGAGAAGAAGGAGAUGAGAGGGAAUGAGAAUGCAGGUGAUGGGAACC